RNAcentral lists this ribosomal RNA (412 nucleotides) under uncultured bacterium. RNAcentral describes it as "bacterial SSU rRNA". It matches the Rfam family "Bacterial small subunit ribosomal RNA", at positions 28 to 423 of the family's 1533-position model. The record is from RNAcentral.
GAUGAACGCUGGCGGCGUGYUUAACACAUGCAAGUCGAACGGGGAACAAAUUAUUGAAGCUUCGGCAGAUYUAGCUUGUUCCUAGUGGCGGACGGGUGAGUAAYGCGUGGGUAACCUSCCUCACACUGGGGGAUAACAGUCAGAAAUGGCUGCUAAUACCGCAUAAGCGCAUAGUACCGCAUGGUACAGUGUGAAAAACUCCGGUGGUGUGAGAUGGACCCGCGUUGGAUUAGCUAGUUGGCAGGGCAGCGGCCUACCAAGGCGACGAUCCAUAGCCGGCCUGAGAGGGUGAACGGCCACAUUGGGACUGAGACACGGCCCAGACUCCUACGGGAGGCAGCAGUGGGGAAUAUUGCACAAUGGGGGAAACCCUGAUGCAGCGACGCCGCGUGAAGGAAGAAGUAUCUCGGUA